Dermacentor albipictus is the source of this 2398-nucleotide long non-coding RNA. RefSeq lists it as uncharacterized. The record is from RefSeq and is a predicted model, not a curated record. Lineage: Eukaryota; Metazoa; Arthropoda; Arachnida; Ixodida; Ixodidae.
CGUUGCACCGAGCGCCCGUUCUCUUGCUGUGCUCCGACAGAGCGACUUCUUACCCCAGGCGUUCUCCGAAGCUACGAGGCGUUGCUGGUUUCGGCGUGUCUAUCCGGCAUACUGACCCUGUCCUCACUGUCGUGACCAGUCGCUGGACGUCCUCACCUUUCGUCCGCCACCUGGGAUUCAAAAACCAUGGGCGGUGAACCGGCCUCCGGAGACGUCAGCCUUUAAAAUCCUGGUCGGCAUCGCCGCAAUCCUAACAGCGGGCGUGGUCGCCAUCGCUCUCACUUGGUAUCUCUUGAAAGAAACGCCAGCCGAAAAGGAGCCGCCGAAACCACUGACGACUACUAAGAAGUCGACCCCGUUGCCGACCACGUUGCCGAUCACCCCCAGCUUGACGACGACAGUUGCACCAGUCGUACGAGGGCCGCCGAUGAUCUGCACGUACAACAUUCAAAAAUUCUCAGGGAAGUCGACGCUCCCAAGUGACGGCGUUUGCGACCAGAUAUACCUAGACUCUGUGUGCCGAUUCCCGCCCUGCAGCACAGGUGCAGAAUGGGACCUCACAGCAUAUCUCAGUGACUUUCUCCAAAUUGCUAAAGAUGCAAGAACCGGCAACAACUGAACAAGGCUGCGCCUUGUUCUUACCACAUUAGCGCACUUACCAGCGCUUACCACAUUAUCGCGAGAACGUAGCCAUUUCUUCAGAGAACUAUAAAGAACGGAUACUAUAAAACAGCGUAAACGACGCAUCACUGAAUAUCAGAGCAAUUAUACACGCAUGCGCAUCAGGCGAACACGCCGGCCGUGAAGAGCUAUUCGUGUGAGCCUGCUUCUAAAUCGCUAAAUGGAAAUAAGAGUGGGGCACAUUACGCACUGUGCUAUCAAAAACAUGGCUGCUUAUGAAGAAAGGCGAUUACUUUUUCCAGAAAGACCCAGGAUGCCUGCCUAACGCGGAAUUCAUUUCCACUUUCUCUGUGAUGUGCUUCGAGUUCUGCGCACUCUACAUCCUGUCGCAGAUGUGUGCCUACACGGAAAGAGUAAAGAAUUUAAACUUCACCAUCGCCGUGUACGACAUUCAUGCCGACGCGUCAUCAGACCCGUGCAAUGAGACCAAAUACAUGGGUCAGUACAGUAGGUUGAAGCUGCUCCACAAGCUGGUGGACUUCAUGGAGAAGUACGCCAACGAGAAGGACUGCGAUAGUUUCUCCUAGCAAGUGUUGACAUUCGCUUCGGUGCGUGUCGUAGGGAAACGACCUUAUGCCUGAUCGCCUACUAUGAUUAUUGGUGAAGACUACACAUUUAUUUGUGUUCGUAUAUACAUCUUCCUUCUAUAAUGUAGCUACCCUGUACUAUUUAAGCCUCAUGUAUACUGUACAUUAGUUUCAUAAGAGAGUCCUUGUGUAAAGACUCCAUUGUGUGAUAGAAUACGUCGGUCAUUUCAUUGCGAUCACUGCCUUAUGUAUUUCUUUUUUUCGACAUGCGAAAUUAAUUGAAUGUCCGUUGUUCAAUAGGAAAAGAAGAAAUACAAAAAUGCGCUAAAACGUAUUGCCAUCUAAUUGGUAAAAGAGACAGUACGAAGCUCUUAGAAUCGUAAGCAAGAGGAAAUACAAAGGUCACAAAAGUAAGGGCAAUCAAGAAAAAAAAAGAAAAAACAAACAAUACGAGGCACGUGUCAAUGGGCAUUUUGCUUAGCAAGUUGUAUAGUUAAAUUAUCGUAAAACUUUAUUUAUUACAAUAUCAUUGAAAUUAUAUUAUCACCAUAGGCUGCCACAUUUUCAACAAAACGGUUAGAAAAGCAGCACACAUACUUUUACAUUUAUGAAUAAAGUGAGAAAAGUAACAAAGAAAGAAGCACACAAAUAGGCAGAAUAUUACACACAGCUCGUAAAAAUAACAUUACCAACGCUUGCUCCCAACAAUAGGGUCGCAAACAUUUCGAACGUACAAAUCAGAAAGCAGACUAUAAGGUUAAAUAAGUGUAUAACAUUGCAACACUUGGGCGUGCUUUCGCACAUCGUAGCUAUGGAUGUAACAUCAAUCUGGAGAGAAAAAUACCCAAAUAACUAAACUUAACCAUCAGCUUUACAAAAUAACCAAACAUAACCUCGGAGGCGUAAGUAGAUAAGCGUAGAUCACCUUCCAAAAAGCGCUACUGAGCGGCAUUAUUCUAUCAUGCUGGUAAUAACAGGAUCUGUAUCCAUUAGCUGAGGAACCAUGUGUGCAAGUUUUUGCCUGCCGUGAUUUGACCGGAUUCUCUUAGUCUACAGUUAGCGCAUGUUAAACUAUAGGAAUGUUAUUUCCAAAAGUAAGCUUCACGGAAUGCAUUCUUGCUUCAGGUGAUUUGGUCAUAAAUAUUUGUCCCCAUUAUAUUGUAAAAAUAUUUUAAAACGUUACAUUGUGG